GAAAAAGAAGGAAAGGAAGGAAGGCUCGGUUGGAAGAGCUAAAGAAAAACUGAGAGGUUUUUCCUCCCACCCACAUGCUAUUGUUGUGAUUCAAGGAAAGCUUGGAGAUUUGGCUUAAAGAUUUCAAGCAAGAGGAAACCCUGCAUGUUGGUGGAUCACAAGAAAUGGGAGAUUUCUUGAUUUUAAGCUUAAGUUGAAUUAUUGAGUAAAGGAAAUGUAUAAAUAGAGGAAGUGAGCUGUGCUGACGUGACGGACAAGGUAAGGAGUGACCGACAAACAGGAGUAGUUGUAUACAAGUAUGAAUCAAUAGCGACGUAACAUUUCGCUAUUGUGAGAAAAGUUAUCAGUACAAGCGUGUCAUCCAACGAAUCUAGUUUAGCUACGACCUAGGUAAUGGCAUCUCUUAGCUCUCCACUUUGAGUCGCUCUGCUACGUAGAGGUUUUGUAGUAUAAAAAGCUAGUCUUGUAAGAAUUAUUAAACCAAUGGUUAUGUAUUGUUAAAGAUCUUGUGAUCGGCAUUUAAUUAUUGUUAUCUAGAAUGGA
Molecule: long non-coding RNA, 543 nt
Organism: Theobroma cacao (cacao)
Lineage: Eukaryota; Viridiplantae; Streptophyta; Magnoliopsida; Malvales; Malvaceae
Source: RefSeq, a predicted model, not a curated record